UGCGAAUGGGUGAGUAACACGUACUCAACGUACCUCUUAGAUUGGGAUAGCGAACGGAAACGUUCGAUAAUACCAAAUACUUAUUAGUUUCGCAUGAAACUUAUAUAAAAGGAGCCUUUAAAGCUCCGCUGAGAGAUCGGGGUGCGCAACAUUAGCUAGUUGGUGAGGUAACGGCCCACCAAGGCGAUGAUGUUUAGCGGGGUUGAGAGACUGAACCGCCACACUGGGACUGAGAUACGGCCCAGACUCCUACGGGAGGCAGCAGUAGGGAAUAUUCCACAAUGAGCGAAAGCUUGAUGGAGCGACACAGCGUGCAGGAUGAAGGUCCUAUGGAUUGUAAACUGCUGUGGUAAGGGAAGAAAAAGUCAUAGAGGAAAUGCUAUGACAUUGACGGUACCUUAUUAGAAAGCAACGGCUAACUAUGUGCCAGCAGCCGCGGUAAUACAUAGGUUGCAAGCGUUAUCCGGAAUUAUUGGGCGUAAAGCGUCUGUAGGUUGUUUGUUAAGUCUGGCGUCAAAUUUUGGGGCUCAACCCCAAACCGCGUUGGAUACUGGCAAACUAGAGUUGUGUAGAGGUUAGCGGAAUUCCUUGUGAAGCGGUGAAAUGCGUAGAUAUAAGGAAGAACACCAUUUUGGCGAAGGCGGCUAACUGGGCAUAUACUGACACUGAGAGACGAAAGCGUGGGGAGCAAACAGGAUUAGAUACCCUGGUAGUCCACGCCCUAAACGAUGAUCAUUAGCUGAUGGAGAAUUCGUCGGCGCAGCUAACGCAUUAAAUGAUCCGCCUGAGUAGUACGUUCGCAAGAAUAAAACUUAAAGGAAUUGACGGGGAUCCGCACAAGCGGUGGAGCAUGUGGUUUAAUUUGAAGAUACGCGUAGAACCUUACCCACUCUUGACAUCUUCUGCAAAGCUA
Molecule: ribosomal RNA, 913 nt
Filed under: uncultured Mycoplasma sp.
Lineage: Bacteria; Bacillati; Mycoplasmatota; Mollicutes; Mycoplasmatales; Mycoplasmataceae
Description: bacterial SSU rRNA
Rfam family: Bacterial small subunit ribosomal RNA
Source: RNAcentral